GACGAACGCUGGCGGCGUGCCUAAUACAUGCAAGUAGAACGCACAGUUUAUACCGUAGCUUGCUACACCAUAGACUGUGAGUUGCGAACGGGUGAGUAACGCGUAGGUAACCUGCCUGGUAGCGGGGGAUAACUAUUGGAAACGAUAGCUAAUACCGCAUAAUAUUGAUUAUUGCAUGAUAAUUGAUUGAAAGAUGCUAUUGCAUCACUACCAGAUGGACCUGCGUUGUAUUAGCUAGUAGGUGAGGUAACGGCUCACCUAGGCGACGAUACAUAGCCGACCUGAGAGGGUGAUCGGCCACACUGGGACUGAGACACGGCCCAGACUCCUACGGGAGGCAGCAGUAGGGAAUCUUCGGCAAUGGACGAAAGUCUGACCGAGCAACGCCGCGUGAGUGAAGAAGGUUUUCGGAUCGUAAAGCUCUGUUGUAAGAGAAGAACGGGUGUGAGAGUAGAAAGUUCACACUGUGACGGUAUCUUACCAGAAAGGGACGGCUAACUACGU
Molecule: ribosomal RNA, 504 nt
Filed under: uncultured bacterium
Lineage: Bacteria
Description: partial 16S ribosomal RNA
Rfam family: Bacterial small subunit ribosomal RNA
Source: RNAcentral